Long non-coding RNA from Panonychus citri (citrus red mite), 2625 nucleotides. RefSeq lists it as uncharacterized. The record is from RefSeq and is a predicted model, not a curated record. The transcript is spliced from 2 exons. NCBI's taxonomy places the organism in Eukaryota, Metazoa, Arthropoda, Arachnida, Trombidiformes, Tetranychidae.
CACAAGGUGGCAGCAAAGAAGAGAAAAAUAAUUGAUUCGAUUUUGGAAAAUUUAUUUUGACAAUUAACUAAUUACCUGUUUAAAAAUAGUAACUUUUCAAAUUAAAUUGAUACAAUUGUGAAUUUGUAAGACCUCCUGGAUCAUCAAUUAAAAGGCUGGUCAUUUUUAAUGAUUUAAUUGCUGUUCUCUUCAAGUUGACUGAUGGUUACCGAUAUUUUUGCUAAAUAUCAAUGAAAUUGGAACCACAAAUAAGUAAACAACAAAGUGAAAGUAUAAAAGGAAAACGUUUAUAGAUUUGAGUGGGAAUUGUUUUUAUCUGGGAAAUCAAAUUUUCCCAAUCUAAUUGAUUGUCAAAUCAUUGGUGGAUCAACAAUAUAAAAGUGUAACUCUUGGUGUAAAUUGUCGUGGGUUUUAUCUUGGACUCUCCAUGACCAUGGGAUGGACCAUUUUUGUUACCAGGUUAUGGUCAAUGAUUUGCCGAGAAAAAAAAACAAUAACAAAAUCAUUUCAUUUUUUUGGGUCAAGACAACAAUCUAAUUUGAUUUUAAUCAAUCGGAUCAACGGUUGACUGUAACCAACGAAUACAAUAUGGCUUCCGGUUACAUCUUUCUGCUCUUUCUAUACAAACUCUAUAUGGAAACUACGAGAAAUUAAUAUUGAAAAUCAUUCCUGUUCUGAUGUGAUAUUACCUGAGGUUUCAAAUGUGGACAAAUGAUUCCUUUGGAUUAACUCAAGGAUGAAUCAAUUAACCGGUCAUGCUAAAGCCCAUGUUAAUCAAACAAGACUCUCAAUCAUCAAUAUAACACCAUCAUUAAUCUGAUACAAACUAAAGACUGGUUUUUUUUAUUAAUGAUGAUGAUAAGCUAACUCAUAAUGAAAUUACUGAUUCGAAUUGGAAGAUUCAAGAAUCCAGAAACGAAGAAAAUUAUUCUGGACAAUCAGACGACCUGUUAACUUUUCUCUCUCUCUUAAAGUGAUUGAUCUAUCUAAUUAAGAGUCAGUUUCAGUUUUAUUUGCUAAUUCUUGAAACUGUAACUAUGUCUUACCUGUUGGAAAGUUACUCGAAAUUAAGAAGAAGAGUGAAAAGUGAUUAAAAAUUAUUCCAAGGCUUCCAAAGCCUGAAUUAAUUUAUCACAAUUGGGAUCAACAACAUCUCUCCAAAUGUUACAAUUAAAUGGCAUCCAUACACUAAAUACACAUUCAAAGUACAUUAAUAAUCUAUCAACCAUCAAUCCAGCCGAAAAAAAGAUGCUAGAAAUUAAUGGGAAAGAUAAUCGAAAACCAAUCGAAAGUAAUCAAUCAAUGGAUCAGCUACUAAUUACCAAGGGAAUAAUCAGUAAAACUUAAUCGAUUACUUGUUUUCGGGCUGAUUGUUGCCGUGAAUUGUUGAUUAAACCAUAAAGUUUACUAAUUGGGGAAUAGACGAUUGACAUUGAAAAGGAAAUCCUGAAAAUCGAGAGAGAGAGAGAGAGCCUGAACAAAAUCACCAAGGCUAAUUUUACAUAAUUGGUUAAUCGAUGAUUAGAAAUGGUUCUUUAUUUGAAUUGUCUUUAUUUGGAAUCGAAAAAACAACGGGUCGGAUUACUUUAAAUUUCUCUCUCUCUCUCUCGUUAUCGAACUACAAUAACAACUACCUGCGAAUCAUCAAGUGUUAGAUCACCUUGAUAAAGUGAAAGCGGAGAAGGCGAAGAAGAAAAAGAAAGAGAAAAAAGAAAGUGACGAAAAAAAAACUUGGAAAAUCAAGAGAAAACUUGAAUUAACGAUAAUCCUUGUUUAUCAAUUGGAAGUGUAAUUGGAGCAGAAUAUUUAUCCAUCAACUUGUCACAGAUUAAGAAUUAAUCUAAGGCAUAUCACGCGUUACCGUUGUUUGUUUGUUCGUUGAUGGUACAGGUAAUAAAAACGAACUCACCUUUUCCGGUCAAAUUCUUUUCGUUUUUUCCAUUUUCAUUGGAUUCGAAUUUGUUUUUCUUCUUCUUCUUGAUCUUCUUGAUCAUCUUUUAUCUCUAAUCUUAAUUCACAACCUCUCAGAGCAACAAUUAACUCUGAUAAUCUUUUAAACAUUUCGAUGAUCAUAACACACUCACAGCUUAAGGACAAACUCAUCUUCAUCAGUUGUGACCAAUUAACGCGAGUAAAAAAGUCGAAGCGCAAACUAUUCAAUUGAUGUUCGUAAAAGGUUCAAGCUUAAUGUUAUUUACCAGCCUCAGGGUAAUAACUUUCCAAGGAUUCACUGUAAUCGAUUGAAAUUAAAUCUUGGUGAACCAUUUAGACGUUACCAUGAUUAUUGUGCACAAUUAACUAAUUUUUUUUUUACUUAAAUUGCUCUUGUUGACACGUUUUCCCUUAAUUGAAAGUUGUAUUCUCAAUUAUUAUCAUGUAUUAACUUUGGUUUUACCACAGGUAACAAACUAUUUCAUUUUAAUUGUUAAUCAGUCAAGUAUCAUCAUUAGUACUUUACUUUAAUUAAGGCUAAUCAAUGAUGAUUAAGAUGAUAUACAAUCAUUAACUAUUUUAAUCCUCUCAUUUUAAAGUCACACUUUCAAGUGAUUAACUUUUUUUUCUUGAUUUGCUUCUUGAUUUUCAUUGAUAUUUCAUGAUCAAUAUUAUUACAACUAAUUAACUUGA